Molecule: ribosomal RNA, 497 nt
Filed under: uncultured bacterium
Lineage: Bacteria
Description: partial 16S ribosomal RNA
Rfam family: Bacterial small subunit ribosomal RNA
Source: RNAcentral
GAUGAACGCUGGCGGCGUGCCUAAUACAUGCAAGUCGAGCGAACGGACGAGAAGCUUGCUUCUCUGAUGUUAGCGGCGGACGGGUGAGUAACACGUGGAUAACCUACCUAUAAGACUGGGAUAACCUCGGGAAACCGUAGCUAAUACCGGAUAAUAUUUUGAACCGCAUGGUUCAAAAGUGAAAGACGGUCUUGCUGUCACUUAUAGAUGGAUCCGCGCUGCAUUAGCUAGUUGGUAAGGUAACGGCUUACCAAGGCAACGAUGCAUAGCCGACCUGAGAGGGUGAUCGGCCACACUGGAACUGAGACACGGUCCAGACUCCUACGGGAGGCAGCAGUAGGGAAUCUUCCGCAAUGGGCGAAAGCCUGUCGGAGCAACGCCGCGUGAGUGAUGAAGGUCUUCGGAUCGUAAAACUCUGUUAUUAGGGAAGAACAUAUGUGUAAGUAACUGUGCACAUCUUGACGGUACCUAAUCAGAAAGCCACGGCUAACUACGUG